Molecule: ribosomal RNA, 496 nt
Filed under: uncultured bacterium
Lineage: Bacteria
Description: partial 16S ribosomal RNA
Rfam family: Bacterial small subunit ribosomal RNA
Source: RNAcentral
AUGAACGCUGGCGGCGUGCCUAAUACAUGCAAGUCGAGCGAACAGACGAGGAGCUUGCUCCUCUGACGUUAUCGGCGGACGGGUGAGUAACACGUGGAUAACCUACCUAUAAGACUGGGAUAACUUCGGGAAACCGGAGCUAAUACCGGAUAAUAUAUUUAACCGCAUGGUUCAAUAGUGAAAGACGGUUUUGCUGUCACUUAUAGAUGGAUCCGCGCCGCAUUAGCUAGUUGGUAAGGUAACGGCUUACCAAGGCAACGAUGCGUAGCCGACCUGAGAGGGGGGUUGGCCCACAGUGAAACUGAGCAACGUCCAGGAUACUUAGGGAAGGCGCAGGCAGGGAAUGUACGCAACUGGGGGAAAGCUUGCGGAAGAAACGCGAGUGGGGUGAUGAAGGUCUUCGGUCGGUAAAACUCUGUAUUAGGGAAGAACAAAUGUGUAAGUAACUAUGCACGUCUUGACGGUACCUAAUCAGAAAGCCACGGCUAACUACGUG